RNAcentral lists this unclassified non-coding RNA (339 nucleotides) under soil metagenome. RNAcentral describes it as "partial contains 5.8S ribosomal RNA, internal transcribed spacer 2, and large subunit ribosomal RNA". The stretch from base 1 to 120 matches the Rfam family "5.8S ribosomal RNA", at positions 35 to 154 of the family's 154-position model. The record is from RNAcentral.
GAUGAAGAACGUAGCGAAAUGCGAUAAGUAGUGUGAAUUGCAGAAUUCAGUGAAUCAUCGAAUCUUUGAACGCACAUUGCGCCCUUUGGUAUUCCUUAGGGCAUGCCUGUUCGAGCGUCAUUUAAACCUUCAAGCUCAGCUUGGUGUUGGGUGACUGUCCGCCGCCUCCGGGCGCGUGGACUCGCCUCAAAAUUAUUGGCGGCCGGUACAUUGGCUUCGAGCGCAGCAGAAACGCGAACUCGGACCCGUCGUAUUGGCUCCCAGAAGCUAUCUUCACAAUUUUGACCUCGGAUCAGGUAGGGAUACCCGCUGAACUUAAGCAUAUCAAUAAGCGGAGGA